UACGUAGGGAGCGAGCGUUGUCCGGAUUUACUGGGUGUAAAGGGUGCGUAGGCGGUUUUGCAAGUCAGAAGUGAAAUCCAUGGGCUUAACCCAUGAACUGCUUUUGAAACUGCAGGACUUGAGUGAAGUAGAGGUAGGCGGAAUUCCCGGUGUAGCGGUGAAAUGCGUAGAGAUCGGGAGGAACACCAGUGGCGAAGGCGGCCUACUGGGCUUUAACUGACGCUGAGGCACGAAAGCGUGGGUAGCAA
Molecule: ribosomal RNA, 248 nt
Filed under: uncultured Ruminiclostridium sp.
Lineage: Bacteria; Bacillati; Bacillota; Clostridia; Eubacteriales; Oscillospiraceae
Description: partial 16S ribosomal RNA
Rfam family: Bacterial small subunit ribosomal RNA
Source: RNAcentral